CCUACGGGUGGCAGCAGUGGGGAAUAUUGCACAAUGGGGGAGACCCUGAUGCAGCGAAGCCGCGUGAGUGAAGAAGUAUUUCGGUAUGUAAAGCUCUAUCAGCAGGAACGAGACAAGACGGUACCUGACUAAGAAGCCCCGGCUAACUACGUGCCAGCAGCCGCGGUACUACGUAGGGGGCAAGCGUUAUCCGGAUUCACUGGGUGUAAAGGGAGCGUAGACGGCUGUGCAAGUCUGAAGUGAAAGGCGGGGGCCCAACCCCUGGACUGCUUUGGGAACUGUACGGCUGGAGUGCAGGAGAGGUAAGGGGAAUUCGUAGUGUAGCGGUGAAAUGCGUAGAUAUUAGGAGGAACACCAGUGGCGAAGGCGGCUUACUGGACUGUAACUGACGUUGAGGCUCGAAAGCGUGGGGAGCAAACAGGAUUAGAUACCCGGGUAGUC
Molecule: ribosomal RNA, 441 nt
Filed under: uncultured bacterium
Lineage: Bacteria
Description: partial 16S ribosomal RNA
Rfam family: Bacterial small subunit ribosomal RNA
Source: RNAcentral